This 496-nucleotide ribosomal RNA is filed under the name uncultured bacterium. Its description in RNAcentral is "partial 16S ribosomal RNA". It matches the Rfam family "Bacterial small subunit ribosomal RNA", at positions 30 to 523 of the family's 1533-position model. The record is from RNAcentral.
AUUGAACGCUGGCGGAAUGCUUUACACAUGCAAGUCGAACGGUAGAGGGGGCAACCCCUCGAGAGUGGCGAACGGGUGAGUAAUAUAUCGGAACGUGCCCAGUCGUGGGGGAUAACGUAGCGAAAGUUACGCUAAUACCGCAUACGAUCUAAGGAUGAAAGCGGGGGAUCGCAAGACCUCGCGCGAUUGGAGCGGCCGAUAUCAGAUUAGGUAGUUGGUGGGGUAAAGGCUCACCAAGCCAACGAUCUGUAGCGGGUCUGAGCGGACGACCAGCAACAAUGGAACUGAGACACGGUCCAGACUCCUACGGGAGGACGCAGUGGGGAAUUUUGGACAAUGGACGCAAGUCUGAUCCAGCCAUUCCGCGUGCAGGAUGAAGGCCCUCGGGUUGUAAACUGCUUUUGUACGGAACGAAAAGGUCUCUCUUAAUACGGGGGGCUCAUGACGGUACCGUAAGAAUAAGCACCGGCUAACUACGUGCCAGCCGCCGCCGUAA